RNAcentral lists this ribosomal RNA (261 nucleotides) under uncultured bacterium. RNAcentral's name for it is "partial small subunit ribosomal RNA". It matches the Rfam family "Bacterial small subunit ribosomal RNA", at positions 26 to 290 of the family's 1533-position model. The record is from RNAcentral.
AGGACGAACGCUGGCGGCGUGCUUAACACAUGCAAGUCGAGCGGAAAGGCCCUUCGGGGUACUCGAGCGGCGAACGGGUGAGUAACACGUGAGCAACCUGCCCUUAGCUCUGGGAUAGCUCCGGGAAACCGGAAUUAAUACCGGAUAUGACCUAGGCCGACAUCGGCCGUGGUGGUAAAGUUUUUCGGCUAGGGAUGGACUCGCGGCCUAUCAGCUAGUUGGUGGGGUAAUGGCCUACCGAAGGCGACGACGGGUAGCCGG